Molecule: unclassified non-coding RNA, 377 nt
Filed under: uncultured Rhodanobacteraceae bacterium
Lineage: Bacteria; Pseudomonadati; Pseudomonadota; Gammaproteobacteria; Lysobacterales; Rhodanobacteraceae
Description: contains 16S-23S intergenic spacer region
Source: RNAcentral
UCCGGCUUAUCACCGGCAGUCGCCUUAGAGUGCCCAACUAAAUGAUGGCAACUAAGGGCAAGGGUUGCGCUCGUUGCGGGACUUAACCCAACAUCUCACGACACGAGCUGACGACAGCCGUGCAGCACCUGUCUCCAGGUUCCCGAAGGCACUCCCGCAUCUCUGCAGGAUUCCAGACAUGUCAAGGCCAGGUAAGGUUCUUCGCGUUGCAUCGAAUUAAACCACAUACUCCACCGCUUGUGCGGGCCCCCGUCAAUUCCUUUGAGUUUCAGUCUUGCGACCGUACUCCCCAGGCGGCGAACUUGACGCGUUAGCUUCGACACUGAUCUCCGAGUUGAGACCAGCAUCCAGUUCGCAUCGUUUAGGGCGUGGACUAC